Topomyia yanbarensis is the source of this 6216-nucleotide RNA transcript. It is a transcript of the gene named C-terminal-binding protein, with no coding region annotated. NCBI's taxonomy places the organism in Eukaryota, Metazoa, Arthropoda, Insecta, Diptera, Culicidae. The transcript has 10 exons. The record is from RefSeq and is a predicted model, not a curated record.
UUUGCCGGGAGAGCAGCAGCAGCAGAGCUUAAUGUCGUGAAUUUUUGGAGUGUGUUCGGUCUAGCUGGUCAAUCUUCACGAUCGCGAAACGGAUUUUCUGCGGGUUUUUGCGCCGGUUCCGGGUCCAAAGUAGUGUCAAAGUGUAGCGCGUUUCGGGCCGCGGGUGAAUUUCCUAUUUUCCGACCGCGGGAGCAGUUAUUUCGUGUAGAAAAUUGAAGGUGAAAUUUGCUUCGCAUCCGCCGCCGCCGCCACAUAAAUAAUUGUUGCCAGAACGGCCCAAAACCGAAUCGCUUUGGGUUGGAUUGCUUCAUCGCGCUACUGCUGGUGGUGCUGGUACUCCGCGCUUCAGUUGCUGGUACCUAUAUGCUGUAGCUUUUGGAUUAUAUUCUUACACGGGAAAGGUGUCCGGUGUAUUUUUCCGAGAGGGGGUGACAAGGCUAGAUUUUGUGUUACAAUCUUCGGAAGGUGACUGUGGCCAGUGUACCUUCGAAUAUUGUUAUUUUAGCGAAUUGAAAGUGUUUUGAUUAUUAUUUUGAGUUCUUCGUCUAUUUUUAUAUUCAGAUAUACAGUGACACUAGAAACUAGUGACGAAUAGUGAAGGUUGGCAUUUUUGGACAUACAAUAUACCGUGAGAUUGACAGCUCUCACACAGUACGAACAAAAAUAAAGCGACGCAAUCGAAACGUGCUCUCUUGGAUAAUACCGUGGACAGGAGUUUUCGGUUCAGCUUCUCUCAGUUAAAGAACCCGCCACAAUGAGGACUACGGUUAGGCGAAAAUAACCUUUCCCAAUAACUCGUAGCCAGAGGACAAAGCCUGAGAAGUGCACGCAAAAAUUUCACGCAGUGUGAACUCAUACACGCGGACAACCACGGGAUGCAACCGAAGGCGUAUCGCUGAUGCAGGAGGGGUAACUACUGAUGGUGACCCACAAAAGCAGCCAACAGUCGUUCAGCGUGAAUUAAAGAAAAAAUCUGCAAAGCAACUUUUUUUUCUCCUUGUACAGUAAUUUUGAAUCGGCGAAGAGCGAAAAACCAUAACCAUACACAACCCGUCUGUGAAUACAACAAAUUAAUCUGUUAGGAAGAGAGUUACUAAUAUUUAGUCAUUCAUAUAUAUGCGCAUAUAUUUCCUAUUAUAAGUCAGUGCGUGUGCUGUGUUUAGAUUUAGAGCAAACCUAACCAUACAGAGGUGUAAUUUUAGAAGCAGUAGUUCCCCCGAUUUUGGAAUUCCCAGCGGAAUAGAAACAACCAUUUUCGGUGGUUCGUGUGUGGUGCGAAAAACGCCAGUGUUGAAAAUCGAGUGUACAAGCAGUGCGUGUGUGUGUAUCGUGCGUGACGAAAAUACGUGCAAAGGUACUCGUGCAGUUGUCGUCAUUCGCAAGGAAUAACAGCUCCCCCCACCCCGCCAAAAUACGUCAACAAUGUUGCCGAAACGUUCCCGUUUGGGCGAUGUGCGCGGGCCUAUCUCGAAUGGGCCGAUGCAGUCGCGGCCGCUGGUCGCACUGCUGGACGGUCGGGAUUGUUCGAUCGAGAUGCCGAUCCUGAAGGAUGUCGCCACAGUCGCGUUCUGCGACGCGCAGAGUACAUCGGAGAUUCAUGAAAAAGUAUUAAACGAAGCGGUCGGAGCACUGAUGUGGCACACAAUCAUCCUCACGAAAGAAGAUCUGGAAAAGUUCAAAGCGCUGCGGAUAAUCGUCCGCAUUGGUAGCGGCGUGGACAACAUCGACGUGAAGGCAGCCGGUGAACUGGGGAUCGCCGUGUGUAACGUGCCAGGCUACGGAGUCGAAGAGGUCGCCGAUACCACCAUGUGUCUGAUCCUGAACCUGUACCGGCGAACGUACUGGCUCGCGAAUAUGGUUCGAGAGGGUAAAAAAUUCACAGGACCCGAACAGGUGCGGGACGCGGCGCAGGGUUGCGCAAGAAUACGAGGAGACACCCUGGGUCUGGUCGGGCUCGGCAGAAUAGGCAGCGCCGUGGCGCUGCGAGCGAAAGUGUUCGGUUUCAAUGUGAGCUUCUACGACCCGUACUUGCCGGAUGGUAUCGAGAAAUCGCUUGGUCUGAACCGAGUCUACACCCUGCAAGAGCUGCUAUUCCACUCGGACUGUGUGUCGCUACACUGUACAUUAAAUGAACAUAAUCAUCACUUAAUUAACGAGUUCACGAUUAAACAGAUGAGACCCGGUGCAUUUCUAGUGAACACAGCCCGCGGUGGUUUAGUCGACGACGAAGCGCUGGCCCACGCACUGAAACAGGGCAGAAUCCGGGCGGCUGCGUUAGAUGUUCAUGAGAAUGAGCCAUACAAUGUAUUUCAGGGUGCCCUGAAAGACGCCCCCAACCUACUGUGUACACCCCACGCCGCGUUCUACAGCGAGGCGGCCACGACCGAGCUGCGCGAGAUGGCGGCCAGCGAAAUCCGGCGGGCAAUCAUCGGCAAUAUUCCGGACUGUCUACGGAACUGCGUGAACAAGGAAUACUUCCUGCGAUCGUCGACUGGCGGCGGCACCGGAGGAUACUCAGAAGAUAAAAAACUUAUAGCUGGUAUAAAUGGCGGCUAUUAUUCAGGUGGAUUACAGCAAGCACAUAGUACAACACCGCUCGAGGCACCGCACAGUGCUGGAUCACACGGGCCGCCCAGUGGUCCCCCGCCACCAUCAGUCGCCGUACCACCUGUCUCCGCUGUUACAGCGCCACCACCACAAGAUUCCGGGAUUUCUGCCGCCUAUGACGCUACCAAUCUCAUGCGCCGGCACUAGAUGAGCCCUUCUACUACUGUAAGCAAACGCAUCUCGCUCGCACAGUCUACGGGGGACCACGCGCAUCCACAGUUCACAUCUACAAUUUUGCUAAAAAUUAUGCUUUCGAAAGUCCCGCCCAUGCAACCGAAGACAAUCGUUGAGGCCAAAUUCGCUGCGGAGCAUAGAAGUCGAAGUGGAUGCGAAGAAAGUGGACGAACGAGUUUUGCACGAUCGAUCGCCCCCGUUUCUGAGCUGAGGAGUCCAACACACGUCUACACACGCGCAUACUGCCACAAUUAAUAGCACUAAACAACAAACAAACCAAUAGAUAUGUGGGUGUGUGUGCGUUUGUGUUUUUUCCCUGCUGGGUAUGCCAGCGGUAUUCGAGUUAGAGGAUUACAGCCUCUUAGUGCCCCCGAUCCAAGUAAUCAUCAUUCGGUUAAGCCGGAACCAUCGGAAGUACAUUAGUUUCAUUAUUAUUAUUAUGUAUGACUUAUUAUUAGUUACGAUUACGAGACAAAAGUGGACAACAGAGAAAGAUAGUAAGAGAGAGGUAGAGAAAGAUAGAGAGAAAGAGCAAAAACGCAAAAAGGGAAAAAGAAACUUUUUUAAUUUGAACGUAAGUAAAAUAAAGUGAAUAAAAAAACACAAGUGAGGGAUUAAAAACAACAAAAAAUAACUGAAGAAUUAUAUAUUGAGAAAGAGGAAACAAUGAGGAUCGAUAAUAAUUAUUAUGAUAAACAGUAAGAAAGAAAAACAUUGUGAGAAAUGAUUAUUAGUAAGAUGUGAGAAGUUACUGCAAAAAGUAUAAGCAAAAAAAAUGUGAAAAAAGAAGUAAUACAAAAUAGUUUUGUGUAAGAGAAGAAACUAUGUAUAGAGAUACUAAACAGGUGUAAACAAAACUGAGCAGCAGCCACGCAACUCCAACCACCACCACCACAAUAACUGAUUGGUUUUGCUAAGCCGAUUGUUUCCAACUCCAGAUUCUAUAAACCCGAAAUUUUGAAACAAUAUGGUUCUCGCUUCCAUAGAAAUAACACAUUACAGAAACACACCACAUUCAUACACCGGCCGUUUAUUGGAGCAAAUGUGUAGACAAAAGUUUGAAAAAAAAACUGGAUUGUACUCAUACUGAUACGAUUACAGACACGAGAAUACAGCUAUGUGUUGUAGUGGUACAUUUAAAAUGAAUUGCUUCCUUUUUUGUUUUAAAACUCUUAAUAAUAAUGAAUUGGAUUAUAUUUUAUUGUCUUUGUAAGUAGAAGAACAGAAAUUCCUUUUAUUUUUUAAUGUAUGUAGAGAGAUAACUAAGGAAAAUUAAAGGAGAAAAAUAAAGGGUGGAAUACUUGAGUACGUGAGUGUGAGCGAAAUUUUCGAUGGUUGGAAAAAAACUGUGUUGAAUCGCAUCGGCGUAAACUAGGCAAGUUGUGUGAAGAGCUCUGGAAUAUACCUGAUAACCUGGGGAAAAACCAACGUACCGAUGUAACAGCUUUGAGUACUUUUGAUUAUUUCUUUUGAUGGUUUUUUUUUCUACAUGAUACAGACAUAUUCGCACAUAAACCAGGUAAGUUUCACCUUCACACUUGUUAGUUAAGUCUAGAAUUCUUUUUUAUUCGAUAGUUCAACAGUUUGCUUUUUUUGGUGUUCAAGAUAAAAGGCUAACUAAAGGCAGACGACAAUAUUGGCUUAGUUUCGAAAUGUACAUGAGGACUAGUUAGUAUCCAAAUCAAAACUUGGUGGUUAUCUAUUACACAUUUUGCCUUUCAUUGUUACUCUUUAGAUUACCUUAAAAUCGAUUCAGCGAAAUAAAAAUACCUUUAAAUAUUCAAGUUAUUAUUCCAACAGACAUGUACGAGGUAGGAACAUUUUAGCAAGUGCUUGCUUUGCUUACAGUACCACCCUUCUUGUUUGGAAUACUUUUCACAAUCGACCAGCAUUUUUCAUCUUCAAAGUAUCUAAAAUAAUUGCACUCUUGGAAGGUCACAGUGAUACUCCUUUAUUGGAAUCAUUCUUUUGUCCAGUCAGGUCAGAGUUUUAUCUGAUUAAAUUACUCUUAUGCCGCAUCAGAAGAAGCUUGCCAAAUACAAAAUAUAUUUUUUGCGCGAAGUUUACAAUACAUUUCUCUGUCUAUUUCGACGAAAUAGAAUCUAGUCGGUAAAUUUUAUCUCACAUUACGAUCUGGCAAAAUCUAUGGUUUGAAAAUGUUUAACUCAGCCCUUUGCUCCACUUUAUAGACAUAAGCGAGCGAUAGUCCUAGACUACCAUUAUCGCCACGCUCCUUGUCGAAAACUUUUCAAAUUUCGUUUGAUGACCAUCCAAAUCAGUCACCAUAGCUUUCCCGCAUCCGUUGCGUGACCGAUAUUCGAACUGGCUUAAUAUAUAUCGCACACUUUUGUUGUGAAACAAUCUAACUUUUUAGCAUGUUCUCAAUCGGUUAGCCCGUUAGAAUAUUUGCUGUCUUGAAACCGGCUACUGUAUUAAUGCAUCAACGUGAUAGAGGAACACAAGACGUCAAACUUCCCAUUAGGACGAAUUGGUCAUUUUCGUAGGUCCAACUCCUGGUCAAGGUUCGACAUUUUUAAUAUGAUAGCUAAUGAAAAAUAAAAGUUCGUGUGAAAGAAAUACGGAUACGGUUCGUUAGCAUUUCCCAAGAUUCCAGAGCUUUUUGCCAACUUGAAGUAUUUCGAAACCGGAAGUCCGAGUGACUAGUAGAUGUAGAACAAUCUGAACGCGAAAAAAUGAAAAGGAUAAAAAAGCAUGGUAAAACGCGAUCAACAAGUUUUAAUCUAAAUAAUAAGAACAGGAGCCCCCUCCUCCCCUUCUAACCGUAUGCUUUAAGAAUGUAAGUGAAAUUUAGUAAGAGGUGGUAUCAAACAAAAGUAACCACGAGUGGUUACAAGACACUGACACAUCCACAAUGCUAGGCACAAACGAAGAGCGCGAAAGGGUAACGUUUUUUUGUCAUCCGUCUGGAUUUUCCUGGGCAGAAGAAUACCAGUCCAACACACAUAGAUCACACUUUAUCAGAGUAGAAAGCCGACCAAAAAUCGUAGUUUCCCCAGUUGUGCAAAAUAAAAGAGACCCCCCUAUGUAUACCAACCAACCUGGACAUACACACAUACCUACGCCAACGCGUUCGUUCUGAUAGGAAAUUUCACAAACAGAAGAAACAGUUUCAAGGAAAAAAUAAGUAUCCGCGCGCAAACUCACAGGUUAAUAGAAAUUGUGUCGACAGUGAGAGGAAGAGCAACACAGAUUAGAUAUAAUUCCUAUGUAGAGCUGGGCAUUUGUUGUUUUGGAAAGCAACCUGCAAAUUAACAACAAAUAAAAACAAAAGAAAAAUAAUAACAACAAACAUUCAUUCCUUUGCGAAAACAAUAUUGAGCAAGCAGAAUACAAACAAAAAUCGUCUGUACAUGAAAUGGCAAAACCUGGGCAGAAAAAUGGAUGGCAUAAAUAAAACUGAAAUGGGUAAAAAUA